This 40757-nucleotide long non-coding RNA is filed under the name Gossypium barbadense (sea-island cotton). Its description in RNAcentral is "long non-coding RNA (GBAR_LNC007908)". Lineage: Eukaryota; Viridiplantae; Streptophyta; Magnoliopsida; Malvales; Malvaceae. The record is from RNAcentral.
UCGUGCCUUGUUGAAGAUUUAUUCUAUUUAUCACUUUCCAUUGGUUCCUAUAUUAUUACAUCAACUUCAAAUCAUUUAUUUAUUUGUGAUUUUCAUCGCUCAUAAAAUCUCAUGAUUCUUAAGCUCGAUCAAUGAUAUUUCGUGAAGAGGCAUUGUAAUUGGAGACUUGAUGUGUAGGAAUUCUUGAGACACUAAUUUCAUUGUUGGUCAAGCUUUGGGUCUAGGUCGUAAGCAUGCAAAAGCAAUGACAGCAAUAAAAGCAAUGUCUCCUGCCAUUUUUUGACUUCUCGGGGUUGAUAAUCGAGGGUCCAAAAUUUCAUUUAGCAUGAAAUUUUGGACACGAGACAAUGAUGAUGAUAGUAUUGACAACAAUUCACCAGGAUGCUUUCCCAUCAAUACUUCCAACGCUAGCACUCCAAAACUAUAAACAUCACAUUUUUUGGUCAUGAGUCAUGACCAACGAAUAAGCAAGUUCUGUAAUUACAACAACAAAAAUAAUUAAAUACAUGUUAAUUUAUAUUUUGUAAUCAGCAUGUAUGUUUGCAUUUGAAUCCUCCAAUCUAGAAUUAAUUUUUUAUUUAUUUAUAUUUGAUAUUUCUUAAUUUUGUUUUUCCUAAUUGUUUCCCUCAUUAUUCUAAUUUGUAAUUCGCAACAAAUAAGCAGCAGAAACUAAAUAAAAAGGAAAAGAAGAGAGUGAAGGUGCAGAACCUGGGGCAAUAUAUCCAUACGUCCCAACAAUUACAGUUCGAUUAGAUGAAUCAGGAUCAAGAAGUCUUGCAGUCCCAAAGUCAGCAAUAACAGCUUCCAAUUCAGAGUUCAACAAAAUGUUAUUGCUUGAGAUGUCUCGAUGAACAAUUGGAGGGUUGCAAUCAUGAUGCAUGUAAGAUAGAGCAUGUGCGACACCUUUGACAAUGUUCACUCUUUUGGUCCAAUCCAAUUCCACAGCUUCCUCAUCAAUGCUCAAGGCAUAAAACAAGCUUCCCUUUUCCAUAUAUUCAUAAAUCAAGAACAUGCAACGGUUGUGGAGACAAAAUCCGUGGAGCUUGACGAUGUUCUUGUGUCGUAUUUCUGUUAAAAACUUGAUCUCAUUUCGGAAACUUGUGUCGUAAGCCGGUUGCUCCGCUUCCAAUCGGUGGAGUUUUUUUAAGGCAACAACUUUGCCAUUUGGUAAGACUGCUCUGUAAACACUGCCAUAACCACCCGUUCCAAUGCAAUAUUUGAUAUCAAAAUCCUCCGUUGCUCUGAUGAUGUCUUCAAAUGCAAUCUUUCCAUCAAAAUUCCAAAUACAAAAUAAAUCUCCAUUUUUGGUUGGACUUGGAAUAUGUUUCAAAGCUUCAGCUCUAUAUUAUCGGCAAAGGAUGAAUAUCAGCAAUGCAAAGUAUGAGAUAAGAAACAACACUGUCAGGACAAGAAUAAUGACGCCCAGAUUGUGAUUCGUUGAAGGGCAAGGAAGGAAGCCUUGAAAGGAACCACAUAAAUACUUGUUAUCAUAGAGAGCGACAGAUGUUAACUGGCCGAGAGAGGAAGGGAUGUGACCUGAAAGCCAAUUGGAGGAUAGAUUCAAAUUAAUCAAAUUUGUUAGUCUCCCAAUAUCUUCUGGAAUGGGUUCACUAAGUUGGUUACUUUGAAGGAACAACGAGUUAAGAUUGGUUAAGUUGCUGACAGAAGAUGGUAUUAGACCAACAAGACUAUUGGAGGAUAGAUCCAAUUCAAGCAAAUUCGUUAGUCUCCCAAUAUCUUCUGGAAUAGAUUCAUUAAGUUGGUUGAUUUGAAGGAACAACGAGGUAAGAUUGGUUAAGUUGCUGACAGAAGAUGGUAUUGGACCAACAAGACUAUUGGAGGAUAGAUCCAAUUCAACCAAAUUCGUUAGUCUCCCAAUUUCUUGUGGAAUGGAUCCAUUAAGUUGGUUGCUUUGAAGGUCCAACGAGGCAAGAUUGGUUAAGUUGCUGACAGAAGAUGGGAUUGGACCAACAAGCCUAUUGUAGGAUAGAUCGAAUGCAACCAAAUUCGUUAAUCUCCCAAUUUCUUGUGGAAUGGAUCCAUCAAGUUGGUUGCUUUGAAGGUCCAACGAGGCAAGAUUGGUUAAGUUGCUGACAGAAGAUGGGAUUGGACCAACAAGCCUAUUGUCGGAUAGAUCGAAUGCAACCAAAUUCGUUAGUCUCCCAAUUUCUUGUGGAAUGGAUCCACUAAGUUGGUUGCUUUGAAGGUCCAACGAGGUAAGAUUGGUUAAGUUGCUGACCGAAGAUGGUAUUGGACCAACAAGACUAUUGGAGGAUAGAUCCAAUUCAACCAAAUUCGUUAGUCUCCCAAUAUCUUCUGGAAUGGAUCCAUUAAGUUGGUUGCUUUGAAGGUACAACGAGGCAAGAUUGGUUAAGUAGCUGACAGAAGAUGGGAUUGGACCAACAAGCCUAUUGGAGGAUAGAUCUAAUGCAACCAAAUUCUUUAGUCUCCCAAUUUCUUGUGGAAUGGAUCCAUUAAGUUUGUUGCUUUGAAGGUACAACGAGGCAAGAUUGGUUAAGUUGCUGACAGAAGAUGAGAUUGGACCAACAAGCCUAUUGGAGGAUAGAUCUAAUGCAACCAAAUUCCUUAAGUCUCCAAAUUUCUUGUGGAAUGGAUCCAAUAAGUUGGUUGCUUUGAAGGUACAACGAGGCAAGAUUCGUUAAGUUGCUGAAAGAAGAUGGGAUUGGACCAAUAAGCCCGUUGUUUGAGAGAUCAAGAUCAACCAUACUCUCUAGCUUUCCAAUAUUUGGUGGAAUAUUGGAAUAAAUAUAAUUACAAGAAACAUCAAGCACUGCCAAUUGAGUGAGGUUUCCAAUUGAAGAAGGUAACUCACCUGUAAGGAUAUUCCAAGACAGGUUGAGGUACCUGAGCUUUGAAAGUGCUCCUAUUUGAGGUGUUAUGCUCCCAUUCAGACCAUGGCCACUAAGAUCAAUAUCGACGACACUUCCAGCAUUGCAUCGAAUACCAGGCCACAUACAAUGGUUUCCAACUCUCUUUUUAUAAUUACUCCACCACCCUGUUUCCAUCAAGGCUUGUGCCUCUGCUGCCAGCCAUUUAGAAUCAUCGUUCGUUGCUCUUGUAAUUCCACUAGUGAUCACAAUUAUAGAGAGUAAAAAGAAGGUAGGGAUAGAAGUGUAAAAGUAGGAUUUCAUAGCUAUGAAGUUGAGGACUCCAAUUCUCAAACUUGAGCUUAUUUAAAUACAUAUAAAACAGAUUUAAGUUUAUUGGAUAUAUAUUAAUUUCAAAGUCUUUAGGCAUUGUCUAACACAGAUUGAUUAAUAUUAUGUUAAGGACUUGUCUUCGUCUCUUAGAAGUAAACUGGAAGUUAUAGCAAAUGUUGUGUCUUUCUUUGUUGAAGCUUCUAAGAAGGUGAUAAUUGAAUAAAAUGCGAUGCUUUUUUUAUUUUACUAAUACCACUCCAUAAAGCGAUGUCAGAUUGGACCAACCAAUUUGUUCGUUGAUAUAUUUAAACUCACAGGAUUUUUCAAAUUUCCAACAACUGCUGGCAUAGGACCUGUAAUUAAAUCAUAAAGGAGUAUAUCAUAUAAUAUUCAACUUUAGGUUAUAUAUAAAUAAAAGGGAUAUAUAUAUACAUACUAUUCUAUCUUAGAAAAUAUUUUUUCAAAUUUAGUAAUGCGUUGAAAUUAUAUAUUCCAGUUCGACAAGAAAAGUUAGUAAUGCGUUGCUUCCACAUGCUAUCAUCUCUCUUAAUUAUUUACUAUUGAUGCCCUGAAAAAAACUUGUAGAACAACUAAAAACCAUGUCCAUAAGAGAUCAAUCGACCAUUAUUGACUUGAAAGUUCAAAGUCUUUACUAGUCUUUACCUAACAUUUCCCUACAUGUUUAUAUCGAUGGGUCCAGAAAUAGCAAUGCUUGACAAAACAUUUUCUUAUAUUGUUUUUUUAUUAUCACACCAACGUGAAAUGUUGUAAUUGAUUUCUUGAAACCAAAUUAGUAAUAUUCUCUAGUUGACUUUCAUGCUUUUGAAGAACAUCCAGAAUCAAUAUUGCAAAGACUUGGAAAAUAAACUCUUAUAUUAUUUUUAGAAAAAUAUUACUAAAUAUUCACUUCUACAUAAUUUUUAAUUUUUUAAGUUUUUAAAAAGAAUUUUAUUUUUUUAUCAUUUUAAAUAUAAUCAUGAUCAAAUUGAUAGAAAUCAUAAAAUCUUACGUCUAAAUUAUUAUUACAAACUAAAGUAACCAAACUUUAAAAAUAACUCAACUUGUCCCGUUAUGGUUUAAAAUUUUGUUCUAACCCCUUGAUCUAAAACCAAACUUUUAGUUUUAAUUUUAAUUCUAAAACCAAAUUAAGAUUUAACUUUGCCAUUGUUUGAUAAUCAAUUGAAAAAAACUAAAUCAUCUAAAAUUUAAUAUUUUUAUUCACUUAAUUUUUUAAGCAUGUUCGAUAAAAAAAUAAAUUAUAGAAUUUGUUUCAAUAAUGAAGUAUGAAAAAUGAUAAAUAGAUAAAGAGUUACUUAUCACUUAAUGUAGAAUUUUUUAUUUCAUUUUAUUUCUUUUAACAUUAUCUUUUGAAUAUUUUACCUUUAAACUUCAAAAUUUUCAUUUAUAUCACAAAUUCUACAUGUCUGUUUUGCGGUCCAUGUUCGGAGUUCAUGAACACCCCUUUCAACAACAUUGUCUCUAAGAUUGAACAUAUAUUCUCUUUUAAAAGUAUAAUGUGUCUUACAAUUACACCCAACACUUGUUGAUAUAUACCAAACAUAUUUUAUGACUACUUAAUUUUCUAAUGCUUAAAUAACACUUUUUUGGUAUAUGUGAAACUCAUUUUCUACUAACUACUUAAAUGAGAGUAAUCAAAUAAAUUGAUUUUGUGUAGAUUGAAGCACAAAGUUAGAAGACUUAAAUUCCAUCAAGGGCUCCAUGUUAGAAGUGCGAGCAUAAUAUGCAUGCUUAAACCAACAUUGACUUACUUGGUGGAGAGUGUAAUAUGUUGACAGUAAUGGUUAAUGGUUUCUAUCAAGUUUCGAGGAAUAUUGCUUGUGAAGACAAUAAUGGUUUCCGCGUGGGUCAUAGGCUUCUCAUGGCAAUCCGUAACCACUGGGCUCAAACCAAAAUAUACAAGGAAGACCUUGACUUCCUAAGCAAUAUACUUGCUUAAAUUCAUUUCCAUCUUCAUCUUUAUUCAAACACAAUUUCUUGGCUAGUGUUCCGUCACUUUUUUUCCUUUCAAUUUCUUUUUAAACAAAAGCUAAAUUCAUUAAAAUUAAAAGAAAAAAAAUCAUUAAUUCAUUCCAUGAAUGAGAUCAUACAAUUCGAGAAAAAUAAAAAGAAACAACAAACACUCGUCAGCGGUGAAAGACAAGCUCCAACAACACGACAAAAGAUUUAUCCUCAAUAUCAAUAGAACAUUAUUACACGCUGACAAUCGGCUUUAUCACAACUGAAGCUCAACAUAUCUAUAGAGAUUGCAAAUAACUAUCACGAUAGGAAAUCAGCCUCGGAUGGUUUAAAGUAGCGGGCAGAAUCAACAAAAGAACUGAGCAUCCACCAAACUAAAGGGAAUGAUGACAAAACCCUCCCUAAAAUCACUUGCAAAAGCAAGACUGAAAAACUUGUAUAAGACAAUUAUAAAAACUUUCAAAAGUAAAGACUUAUUAAACAAUAGAAAAAUAAAAAUUAAGAUAACACAAACAUCUUAUAAAAUCAUAAUAUGCAUUAUUAAACCAAUGUUGAUUUACUCGGUGGCGAAAUUUUAAAUAUAGUUAAUGGUUUCUAUCUAGUUUCUACGAAUGCUGCUUGUGAAGACAAUGAUGGUUUCCGCGUGGGCCAUAGGCUUCUCAUGCCAAGCCGUAACCACUGGGCUCAAACCAAAAUAUACAAGGAAUACACUUGGUUAAAUUGACUUCCAUCUUAACACUAAUUUCUUGGUUACUGUUCCAUCACUUUUUUCUAAUUUAAUUUUUUUUUCAAUUUAUUUAAAAACAAAAACUAAACUCAUUAAAAUUGAAAGAAAAAAAAUCAUAAAUUUAUUCCAUGAAUGAGAUCAUAUCAUUUGGGAAAAGGAAAAAAAACAACAAACACUCAUCGCCAGUGAAAGAUAAGCUCCAACAACACGACAACCUUAGUAUCAAUAGAACAUUAUGACACAUUGACAAUCGACUUGGUCACAACUCAAGCACAACAUAUUUGAAGUGAUUGUAAUCAAAUAUCAUGGUAGGAAAGCAGCAUCAGAUGGUUCAAAUUGGCAGGCAAAAUCGACAAAACCCGAGCAUCCACCAAACUAGAGAGGACGACGACAAAAUCAUCCCUAGAACAACUUGUAAAAGUAAGACUAAAUGCGUAAGACAGACUAAAAACUUGUACAAGACAAGACAAAAAAAAUUCAAAAGUAAAGACUUAUUAAACAAUGGAAAACAAACAACAACAAAAAUAAAACUUAAGAUAACACGGGUCCGAAGGGACUCAUGAAAUAAUUUAUUUUUCUAAAAUACUCUCAAAACAUAUACAGAUUAAGAAGUCGAUUGUAACACCCCAAACUCGGGCUGGACAUUAUGGCCGGAUCAGGCGAUGUCACAUGGUAGUGUGUUUGAAAACCAUAACUUUGCUUAAAAUAAUUCCCGUUUGGAAACUUUUCGUUAUUACUUAUUAAUUCUAAAAUCGCGUUAUUUAAUCAGUCGAAAGUUUUCAAAACAUUUAUUCAAUGUGGAAGCUUUUAAAACAAUUUGCGUAUUUGUGAGUAUUUUGUUAAAACGUUUGUUUCUUUUGAAAACUCGAGUUUUCCUAACACUAGCAGCUAUAAUCCAAAAACAUUAAAAAUUCUAAAUUAAAGUAAAAAUCCAUAGAGGCCAUAUUACAUCAAAAAUCUCCCAAUAAAAAUUUAAUCCAUAACUAAGUACUAAACAAUAAGAAAGAGGUCGUGUCGCCACCGCUGCGUCCUCCGCCGCACCAAUCCACCUAAACCUGGGGAUUACCUGUACAGAUAAAUCAGAUGGGUGAGUUUACAAAAACUCAGUGUGUAAUCCCCAUAUAAAACAAGCAGAUAAAAUGCAAUCACAGUCUGGGCCUAAGCCCUUUCCAGUUUUAGAUUUAGUUUCAGUUAGGGCCUUAGCCCAUCUCAAUGCAGAAGCAGUCAUGCAUUAGGGCCUUGGCCCAUUACAAUAUCAGUAAUCAGUAUCAGUAAGUAAUAGAUAUGCAGUCACAAAAUCCUACCCAAUCAGCCUCUACACACCAUCUCCGUCUAGCCCUACACUCCAUGUGGGGAUAUAAUCAACCCACCCAUCCCUCCACUCCAAGUAGUACUGAGUACAGCACUAGACAGUAGUUUGCAGCUGAGUUGCCAAUAAAAUAGGCUCGAAGCCUUUUAGUACACUUCUUUCGAACAAUAUCAACCCCUAACCUGAUGCAAUGCAAUAUACAAUUCUGACAUGCUAGUAAUACAUACAAUAUCUAUAACACCCCAAACCCAACCUAGACGUUAAGGCAGAAUCUGGCGUGUCACAUUAAAAUGCUUUUCGAAAAAAAACUGUCUUAUUAAUAAAUCUCGCUUGAAAGAUAAAAGCCCCUUUUGUUUAAUUCUAAAGUCAACUUAAUUAUUUGUUAACCAUUUUAAACCAGCCUUACUUUUAAAAACAUGUUUGUUGCAGAAGCAUUUCUGAUAUCUAUAACACCCCAAAUCCGACCUAGACGUUAUGGCCGAAUCUGGCGUGUCACUUUAAAAUGCUUUUUCGAAAAAAAACUUUGUCUUAUUAAUAAAUCUUGCUUGAAAGAUAAAAACCCAUUUUGUUUAAUUCUAAAGUCAACUUAAUUAUUUGUUAACCAUUUUAAACCAGCCUUACUUUUAAAAACAUGUUUGUUGCGAAAACGUGAUGUUUUGAAAAUAGAUAUCCUUUUGGAAAACCGUGCUUUACUUUUAACAGAAAUAAAUCAUAAUAGUUAAAAAAGACCCCAAAUUAAAAUCUAGCAAAUUAGAGAAAAGGCCUUAUUACAUCAAAAACCCAAAGAAAAAGUAAUUUAAGUAAUGUAAAAGAAAAAGCGAAAAUUUAAAGCUGUUCGUAGUGUGGCCACCUCCGAGUCCUCCCACACGUCGAACCUCUUACUGAGGAUUACUUGGAAAAUUUAAAAGAGAGAGGUGAGUUUAUGAAAACUCAGUAUGAACAACCCUCAUCGAUCAUAAAGCAUGCAUCGCAUCAAUAUGGGCCUAAGCCCAUUACAAUAAUGAUGACACUUGGGCCUUAGCCCAUUACAAUAAUGAUGGCACUUGGGCCUUAGCCCAUAGUAGCCUUAGUUGGGCCUGAGCCCAUGUCACAAUCAGAAUCGAAUUAUGUAAUGCACAAAUACCCAACUAACCCUGCACUCCGCAUCCCAUCCAACCCUACACUCUUAUGGGGAUUUAAUCGACCCACCCAUUCCUACACUCUUGAGGUAGCACCGGUUGCGACACUAACCAAUUUUGCAGCAAAAUUGCCAAUCACAUAAUGGCUUUAAGCCGUCGAUGGAUCCACAAUCGUCAGGCGACCAUGCGACCCUAACAAGUCAUAUACUUCAUUCAAACCAAUGAUCCCGUCCCCCAUCCAGCAUAAUCUCACAUGAAUGCAAACAUAUCAUAAAUGGCAUACAAUAACAAUCAUAUAACAUGUAGGGGCAUUUUAGUCAUUUUGCCCUUCGGGGGCAUAAUGGUCAUUUUACCUAUUUUGGGGUUUCAGCUCAGGUAACAACCUUCCCGAAGGUCUACAGACACCUCGUGCGACAUAGAUAACCUCAAUGAUCAUAACGGUGUAAAUGGGCCCAAGGCCCAUUACUCGGCCUAAGUGGGCCCGCACGCUUGUGUGGUACAUUUAGCCUAAAUUCAGUUACGACUAUAUGACUUACAUAGCCCAAUCCAAUAUUUAUCAAUUACCGUGGAUUUAAUCUGUGUGGAGCCCAUGAGCCCAUUGGGCCCACACAACCCAUUUUGGCCCAACGUGGCCCAUAAUCGCCCACGUCCAUGGAAACGCUCGUGGUGGUCUUUACAGUCUAUCACCCAUGAUUUGUGGGCUCAGUUUACCCUAUGAGUGAUCGCACGCUCGUGAGGCCUCAAAUGCCGAGGUUUUGGCACUUUGACUUUUCGGCUUUUGCCAAUCUACAUUAAGGAAGGGUGUGGUUACACACCUAUUUGUGAAAACAAUACGAAUAGUCCUCGAGUACCAAAACCUAUAUCCAUUCACAACACACGAUUAAUCACAUGUCAAUAGAAAUACAACUAGCCUUAAUCAAUACACUUAGUCACUUAAACCAUAACCACCUACCCUUGCUUGAGCCAAAGAAUAUUCGCACCAAACUAUUGAUCAAGAGCGAUUACCCACUCCUUGACUAAUAUCUGCAAACAAAUCGAACCUCCUAUUAACAUAUAUUUACGAAAAUAAUUGAUCUUUAGCGAAACACAUACUCACUGAAGUCAUGAAUGUAGAACCGAAUAGAAUUCAAAGUCAGCAGAGAAGGAAAAAGAGAAAUUUCGGCACAGUGAGGGUAAAAAUACGAUGGAAUAUCAGUAAUAACAGAGAACAAGGGAGCGUUCUAACUUAGCAAUAAUCCCCAACUUUUGACAGUAACCCCAGGAAAAACAACAGCCUAAAGAAAAAGAAGGGAAAAAUAGUUGCUUUCACAGAGGAACCAAACAAUAAUUGGCCAAGAGAAAAACUUGUCAAAACCGAAAAUGUUGAGAGGGGAAAAAAGGGUUUAAAAAUAAUCAAUCUAGAGAGAAAGCAAUUGAGAAAGGAAGGAGAAGAAGAUUAAUUAAAUCGGCCACAGUCUCCAGGCUACAAAAAUAAUAAAUGAAAAAAAAAGAUAGGGUUUGAGUAAGGGAGGAAGUAUGUAUUCGGUUUAAAGAGAAAGAAAGAGAAAUAGUUUUAGAAGGAGGAGAGUAAAAGAGGCAAAAGGAUGAGAGUCGAGAAACUUGAAGAAGAGUGUACAACCAAAACCAGCAAAGGGAAAAGGCACUAUUAGAAACUCUUUUUGCACUCACUUCUUGAAACUGAAAUUCCUAAGUGCUUUACAGUUCAAAAAUGACACACCCCUCUCCCACACCUCAACCUCUAUGAUUUUCUCCAUAAUCCAUUCCUUGACCAGGUCAAAUUCCAACCACCCUUGUAGUGUCUUAUUCAAACUCCACCAAAUACUCUUUUGUACAGUAAAAUAAAUACUCCUUUGUGCAUAGAGUGACUUGAACUCAAACUCAAACUCCCUUGCCACCUUAAUGACGCCACAACUACUGGAGUACAAGCUCAUCUUAUGUCACAUUUUAAUCUUAAUUAUUUAAAAGGCUUACUUCCAAAUACCAAGGGUUUUAUUCACUUAAAUAAAAAAUUUAGCUAAAGCCCAUGUUUGAACCCAGGACUUUUCCAACACUCUCAAAUAUGCCCAAACACUUAGCCACUUAAAGCCAACAUGCAAUUUGUGUCACUUUCUUGCUCUCAAAAAUUUUAGGUGCUCCCAAACCCAAAGCCCAAUUCCUCUAAGCCCAAAAUUUGGGGUGUUACAAUAUCAAUUCAGUGAAAUAUCAUCAUGCUCGAUAACAUAUAAAUUCAUUUAAAUCAGUCAUACAGUCAUUUUCUUAAUUAGAGGUCUAAGUAAGCUUACCGACCCUACAGUGGGUCCACAGUCAACUCGGGUGACUCGUGCAACCUUAACAACAAAAUAGUGAAAAUGGGCCCACACUCCCAUUUUGUCCACUGUGUGGCUGGCCUUGGCCGUGUGGAUCUCACAGCCUGGCCCAAAAAUUUCAUACGCCUAUGUGGCGUCCACAGCCCCAUUUUUUAGCUUUUCACCGAUUGCCAUUUUUAGUAUUGUGGUUAUACACCUGCUUGGAUUUUGAAGCCUAAAACUCCUGAGCACUCCCGGAACCUAAAAUCAGCAACAUACACUUGAUUAAAAGAUUAACCCAUCGAAUACAUCUAAAUCCCAAAGCAAAGUAUUCACUUUCGAGCUGUAAGCCAUUACCUUCAAUCCAGUAGUAGGAAUUCCCCGCCUUCAAAACGUUGACGAAUGAUAAACAGCCUUUGAUAAACCCCUAAUCACUAAAAGAAUCCUUAUCAAUACUUGACCACAUCCUAGUUUAAAGUGUACUCAAAACUAAACUUACCGAGAUGGUGGAGAGGAUAAUGCGCAAAAAGAAAGAAGAAAUGAAAAGAAUCAAAAAGGGGGAAGAAGCAAGGCAAAGGUUCGGCUAGGGAAAGAAAAAGGGAAAACGUCAAGAGACUUUCAGUAAGAAGGGGAGAAACCAAAAAUUGGGAAGAAACAAACUCUACCUUAUUUAACUUACCAGACAAACGGCCACACAGUUUGCAACACAAAACAAAUUGAAGCAAGGGAAAGGCAAAAUGAAAAAGUCAAAGGUAGGGGAAAGGAGAAGCAGAAUUCGACAGAAGGGGAGCAAAGAGAGAAAACAACAGAGGUUUUUGGGAAAAGGGAAAAAUUUCGGUAAGGGAAAAAAAUGAAAAUUAAAAAGUGAUGCGGUCGUUGAGAGCACCAAAAAUAUCAUGUUCCCUAUAAAAUAGUAAAAAUAACAGUAAAGGGGAAGUAGGGUUAAAUCUUCAGGGACCGAAUUGUAUGAAUGCUCGUUUCUUAAAAUCCUGGACAAUUUCUUGGCCAAGAAAACCUGCGUUCCUGAAAAAUAAAAAAAUAGAAUUAAGAAUCUAGAAAAAUAAAAACAGAAUUUAAAGUGAAUUGAAAUUGCGAAAUUAAAUAAAUUGCAGAAAUUAAAAUGAGGAAGAUAAAAAUAAAUAGAGUUGGGAAAAGAGAAAGUUUCUUAUGUGGCGAGAUUCCAGCCUCCGAUUGUCUCGUUUCGCCUUGGGUUCAAUCCUUGGCUUUUAAGUAACCCUUCUCAAGUAGGAUAAGCCAGUUAUAGUGGAAGAGGACGCCUACGACCACCAGCUCCAAGGAUUUGGACUUACGAUUUGGCAGAGCCUGACUCUAGCCAAUAAUCGCUUUUGUGGGACUAUCUUCUGCUAGAUCACCUCUUCCCAACGGCAAAUACCAUGCCGUCUUUUCUCUUGGAUUCGCCAACCUUUGACGCAGAAAACCAAUGAACCGACUGUGCAACCUUUCUAAAACGUACAAAGCGGCCGUUCCUUGCACAAGUUGAAAAGAUUACCUAUUAAGGGACAUGGACGGAAGCGUCAGUGUCGUAAUGCGGAGAAGCGAUGAAUACCCUGCUAAGAAGGCUAAGUGCAAAUUCUAGGCCUCAUGAACCUUUUUGGGAAAUUUUGACAACCUUCGGCUAGAUUGGUUUAGUAGCUCAUGGUUUUUGGGAAAGAAAUAAAUAUAAUAGAAGUGAGAUUUUUAUUGAAGAAAAUAUGGAGAGAACAAAAAGACAGAGUUUUUUGGGAGAGGGAGUGAUUACAGAAAAAAAAAGAUUUCCAAUAUGUGCCACUCCAUCCCCUAUUUAUAGUAUUAGAAAACCUAGUCUAUUCCUAAUGAAAUUCUAAAAGAUAAAUACAAAUAAAUAAAGAUAAAUAAAGAUAAAUGAAAAUAAAUCCUAAAAUUAAAUCUAAAUAAAAAUCCUUAAUAAUUAGCCUAAUAUAAUUGAAAUUAAAAUAGAGUCUUCUGCUACAAAAUCUUUUUUUUUUUUGCAUUUUAGUCCUUGGGUCUUCCAUGUUUGCAUUUUUGGCACCGCUUCUCUCUUUCUUUGCAUGUUGGCCCAUUAUAUCUUCAAAUUUGCACUUUUUACCCUUAAAUUUCCUCUUGUCUCUGAUUUUGUCCCUAAAAGAUAAAAAACCACAAAAUAAUCCAAACUAGUAGGAUCAUACUCAAAAUAAUCAUGCAAUUAGCACAUAAAAUAUGUCGUUCUAGAGUAUUAUCAAAAAGAUUUCCUAAUAACCCCCCUAAAUUCUCCUCAGAUUUAUCUAAACCAACUCCCCACUCCUUACUUUUCUCCCCAUAUCCCUAAUUUCCCUCCUAAACCGUCUAUCACACUCCUAUUAACCCUCAAAAUCCCCCAAACCGUCCACCAUAAUCUCCUCAACAACUGAAUUCAACCCUCACUCAAACACUGCAGUAUUUCGGCUAAACCAAAACACCCAUACGACACAUCAGCAAAAUAAAUCCCUUGUUUGCACAAAGACUCGAACUUCAGACCUCCUGCUCCUUUGCUCUCCACUUAACCACCAAACCAGCAGGCCCAUUCUGACAUAUUUUACCCACAUUUAAUUAUAAGCCUACUGAUCAGAUAUAGGGCUUUAUUCAUAAAAAUACCAAAAUUUUCCCAAGUCAUGGCUUGAACUUGGGACCUCACACACACACAUAGAGUACUUAACCACAAAAGCAGACAAUUAUUUGUGUCACAAACACAUGAAAAUAAAUAUAAGAGAUUUUUGGGGUGUUACACCAAUGGUGUGCCAUCAUUCUAAUAUCUACAAUCAAUCCACUUUCCAAAAAAAAUUGUUGGUAGUUGGUGGAGGUUCAACGACAACAGACACCUUUACCUGUCCAUCACAACUUGUGCAGGUAAUGAAGAUACCCAUAAAAUAAAUCUACAAAUUGAAAAUAGAGAAGGCACAUAGAGUGAAUGAGGAGAAAAAAAGAAGCAAAAGGUUGGUGGGAGGAAGAAAAAGGCGGGUGGUAAUUAGCUCAAAAACUAGCAACACUUAUUGGAAAAAUCUAGUUUAGAAAAAUAGUUUUCAGUCACAGUGAAAAAUUAAAAUUUUGAAUAUAAUCAUGAAUAUCAAGCAUGAAUAUAACCAUUUCCAACCACAUAGCAAUCAAUAGCCAAAGAUCACUUAUACACUUCAUAACCAACUAGCCUAUACAUGCCAUAUAACCAAAUUCUCAAAGUUUAUAAGUACCAAAACGAUCAUUGAAUAGUGUGAUGAAAUCUCCAACGACUUCCAACCUGAGCAAGCCUCUGAAACUCUAUAAACAUAAGAAAGAAAGCAAAGUAAGCUAUAAAGCUUAGUAAGCUCGUAUGAUAAUAAACUCAACUUAUCAAAUAAACACAUACUAAGCAUUUACAUAUGUUAUAAUGUUACUCAUAUGUUUUGACCUUUAUACUAUGAAUCCAUUCACAUAGUUAACCGAGAGAUUCACAAGUUUAUUCAUUUCAAUUUUCAUAUGGAUCAAGCACUUUCUUACCAAUUCAUUCACAUUUACAUAUACAUAAGCAAUUCAAGAUAUUUCACAUUCAAUCCAAUAUUUAUUACAUAUUCAUAAUCAAUAAAACCAUAUGAAUUCUCAUAAUUUUCCACUUACUCAUCAUAUGAAAUUUAAUACUAUCACUUACUUGUCGAUUUCUAUCACAAGUACCUUGACUGAGUCAUACCAUCACUUGUAACCACGUUUUAUCAAAUUUUCCCAUUGAACCAUUUGGAAUUACUAAAGGAUGCUCAGGAAUCUAGUACACAUAGUACCAUACCAAUGCCAUAUCCUAGAUAUGGUCUUACAUGUAAUCUUGUAUCGAUGCCAAUAGCCCAGCUAUGGUCUUACACGAAAUCUCAUACCGAUGCCAUAUCCCAAAUAUGGUCUUACACGUAAUCUCAAUAACCUUAAUGUCAUGACAUUUGUAUCCUAUCUAUUCCUAAGGUUCAACAGGGACUUUUACUUUGUCGAAUCUCCGUCAAACAUUUUCGAAGCAUUGUAUUCACAAUUAAAUUCAAUAUUAAAGUAUCCACCAUAAUUAUAUCAAUUAAGCAUUUAUCAUAUAUAAUUUAAUGCUUAUUAAACAUACGAACUUACCUCGUUCACUGAAACUACGAAUUAUGUCGACUAAUCCAAUACUUUAUUUUCCCCCAUUCUAGAUCCAAAUCUCGUUUUUCUCAAUCUAUAUAAUAUCAAAUUUUACUUAUUUAAUCAACAAAUCAUUCAAUUUAAUCCAAAAUUCACAUUAAGGUAAUUUUACACAUUUACCCCUAAACUUUCACAUUUUUAUAAUUUAGUCAUUAUCACAUAAUAUCACAAUUUCAUGCAAUUAAGCCCUUACCCAAGCAUCCUUAACAUCCCAUAUUUAUAAUUUAUUUAACAUUUUAGCCACAUAAUUUUAAUAAUUCACCAUUUAGUCCCUAUUUUGCAUUUUUCCUCAAAAUUGCUUAAUAAAACUUGUAAAACUAACAACAAAGUUUCAUAAUCCAUCAUCAAAUAUCAAUUAACACAUAUAUUCAACAAUGGAAACUAUCAAAAUCUUUAACAGUUUCGAAAUCGGAGGCAUGGGCUAGCUAGAUUACGAAGCAACGAUCUCCAAAAACGUAGAAAUUAUUAAAAACCGAGCAAAAACCACUCACCAAUUGAGCUUCAAAGCUUGGCCGAAUACUCAAGCUUCCAUGGUUGUUCUUUCUUUUCAUUUUCGGUGGAAGAAAGAUAGGAAAAAGAUGAUAGCCAUUCAUUUUUAUUAUUUUACUAACUUUAAUUAUUAUAUUACUAUUAUAACCUUUAAUUAUAACAAUAAAAUUCAUCUAACCCAUGACCAAUAUUGUCCACUCAUAAUUCAAUUAGUCUAAUUUCCAUGCAAGUGCUCAUCAUUUCAUUUCUAUAUUCAUUUGGCUCAUUUAACUAAUAGAACUCAUAUUUUACGCUUUACGCAAUUUAGUCCUUUUUAUCAAAUUGAGCACUCACACAAUAAAAUUUCUUUGGAAAAUUUCACACAACUCUAAUAUUAUACUAUAGAUAUUAAAAUAAUAAUAAAAUAAUUUUUUUAAAGUCAAAUUUAUGGUCCCGAAACUAUUGUUCCGAUUUAACUUAAAACGGGCUGUUAGAUCUGCUUUACUUGACAACAUCCUAACCUGACAUAAUAUUCGUUGUAAGUCUGUUGUCAAGAUACAUGCAUUGUUGCAAUGUGAACCACUACAUAAUAGCAAAAGGGUUCUACGAUGCAUAAAAGGAACUCUUAGCCAUGGAGUGAAGUUUUUAAAAACUGAAAAGGUCAAACUACUUGUGUAUUCAAACAAUAAUUGGGUUGGGUCUAAUGAAGACAUGAAGAGUACCUUGAUCACCUCCAGACAUACCAACAUCUAGAGUAGAUAUCCUGCACAAACGAUAUGAAAAAGCAGUAUCCGCAAGUAUACGGGUCAAGUUGUAAUAUAGUUAAAAUGGAGUAGGUAAGUACUCAGAGGAUCGUACCCAAGGGAGGCGAGCACUAAAUUAAUUCUACUCUAAAUUAAUUAAUAAUUUAAUUGAAUUAUAGUACGAAGAAAUAAAUAAGGUUUUGGAUAAUUAAAAUAAAAAUAAUAAGAAAAGAAAUAAAAUUAAAUAAAUAAAAAGCAAGAAAUUAAAUAAGAAAAAAUAUAUCAAAUCUAGGCAUGGGUGAUUGGCUUGCUUUGGUAAUUGUAAUCAACUAUCGUCUCGGGUUUUCACGUUCAGUCAACUAGUCAAUACCCUAGCAGGAUCUUCCGAUAUGUUCACUGAAAUACUAAGUCGGUAAGAACUACUCAUCUUCCGACCUCACAGUCCAGACCGGUUCAGGGUUAAGGUGUUCAUGAACAAGCCAGACCAACUUUGGGUUAAUUUCCACCUUGAUGACUUCCUAGGGUUGUUAAGCCUAAGGUUUAGAUUCUUCCUUUCUUGAACAGUUGAUUUGUUAAGAAAUCCCUACAAAACAAUUUCAACAAUAGAGUUUCAAAACAAUAAUAAAAAAAUCCAUAGUUUAAUUACUAAUGGUAUAAUCUACCUAAAAAAAGUCUUCAAAAAUAAACCUGAAAGUUGUGCGAAAAUUCGGGGUAGAACUUUAAAAUUUUGACUUGGACCACAACAAUACCACUUCCAAUCAUCCACUCACCAAAUUAAUUUCAAUUUUGAAUUUAAUCAAAAUAAAACCCACCUUAAUUUGGUGUUCAAAUUUGCAAAUUUAAAAAAUAACCAAUAUAUAAAAAUAAAAAAAAUCAACAUUUUCCCUUAUGGUUUAAAAUUUUGUUCUAACCCCAAAAAUCUAGAUGAGAUUUAAUUUAGCCCCUAAUUUAAAACCAAACUUUUAAUUUUAAUUCUAAAAUCAAAUUAGGGUUUAACUUGGGCAUGUUUGAUAAUCAACUGAAAAAAAAAGUCAUCUAAUGCAUAAUAUUUUUAGUCACUUAAUUUUCGAUAAUCUAUAAUAAAAAAAAUAAAAUAUAGACUUUCUUUUAAUAAUGAAGUAUGAAAAAUGAUAAGUAGACAAAAGAGUCACUUAUCACCUCAUGUAGAAUAUUUUAUCUUAUUUUAUUUCUUUUAACAUUAUCUUUUAAAUAUUUUACCUUCAAAUUUUCAGAAAUUUCAUUUAUCUCACAAAUUCUACAUAUUCGUUUUACGAUCUAUAUUCAGAGUUCAAGAACACUCUUUCAGCAAUGUUGUCUCUAAGAUUGAACAUGUAUUCUCUAUUGAGAGUAAAAAAUAUCUUACAAUUGCACCUAAUACUUGUUAAUAUAUACCAAACAUGUUUUAUAACUUAAAUUCAAUACUUAAUUUUGUAAUGCUUAAUUAUAUAACACUUUUUUGGUAUAUGUGAAACUCAUUCUUUUACUAAAAUAAAUGAGAGUAAUCAAAUAAAUUGAUUUUUAUGUAGAUUGAAGCACAAAGUUACAAGACUUAAAAUCCAUCAAGGGCUCCAUGUUAGAAGUGCGAGCAUAAUAUGCUUGCUUAAACCAACAUUAACUUACUUGGUCGAGGGUGUAAUAUGUUGAGUUUACUUUGGAGAAAUUCUGAAUAUGGUUAAUGGUUUCGAGGAAUGCUAAUUGUGAAGACAAUAAUGAUUUCCGCGUGGGUCAUAGGCUUCUCAUGGCUCAAACCAAAAUAUACAAGACCUUGACUUCCAAAGCAAUAUACUUGCUUAAAUUGACUUCUAUCUUCAUCUUUAUUCAAGCACCAAUUUCUUUAAAAAAAAAAUUAAUCUCACUAAAAUUGAAAAGAAAAAUUCAUUAAUUCAUUCCAUGAAUGGGAUCAUAUAAUUCGGAAAAAAGAAAAAGAAUCAACAAAUACUUGUCGGCAGUGAAGAACAAGCUCUAACAAGACAACAAAAGCUUUAGUCUUAGUAUCAAUAAAAUAUUAUGACACGCUGGUAAUCAGCUUUAUCACAACCCAGCAUCAAUAGGAAAAAUAAUAAUUUUUCUAUUUUUUAAAUAAUUCCGAUUUUUUUAAUAGGUAUGAUAAUAAUAAUUUGAUUUAAUCCCAUCUUAUUUCUAUUUUUUAGUCACUCACCAAACUAAUUUCAAUUUUGAAUUUAAUCAAAAUAAAAUAAAUUUGAUUUAAUCCGUCUUAAUUUCGUGUUUAAAUUUGCAAAUUAAAAACAAUAACUCUAAAUUUGAAAUUAAAAAAAAAUCAAUUUGGCCCCUUAAAGGUUUAAAAUUCUGUUCCAAUCCUAAAAAUCAAUAUGAGAUUUAAUUUAAACCAUGAUUUAGAACCAAACUUUUAAUUCUAAUUCUAAAAUUAAGUUAAAAUUUAACUUAUUUCUAAAAUUAUAUUAAAAUGUGGAUUCUGUUUAAAGAGGUCAUUUAAACCAUAUUCAACAAAAUUAAAACCUAACAACCUCGAAAUUGAAAUGCACGAAAACAAUGGAAAUCAAAUAAUUUUUUUAUUUAAUGUAAUUUUAGAUAGUUAAUAUGGGAACUAAAUUUGAUUUUAUAAUGUAACUCAUUUUGUGAUUUGAUUACUUUAAUCAAAUAAGUACUCUGUUGUGAAGAAGCUAAUUAAUUAAAUUAAAUUAAGUUAUAUUUAAUUUUAAAAAAUAUUUCUAUUGAUAUUUAUAUAUGUUAUUUAUUAGAUUGUAUAAAUUUUAACUAAAAUUAAAUAUUAAUCUUGAUUAUUAAAACAUAGUUCUAAUUAUUAAAAGUCAUGUCUUUCAACCAAAAAUUUUAAAUAUUUUAUAGGAAAAAAAGAAAGCAACUAUGAAUAACAAUGUCGUGCCUUGUUGAAGAUUUAUUCUAUUUAUCACUUUCCAUUGGUUCCUAUAUUAUUACAUCAACUUCAAAUCAUUUAUUUAUUUGUGAUUUUCAUCGCUCAUAAAAUCUCAUGAUUCUUAAGCUCGAUCAAUGAUAUUUCGUGAAGAGGCAUUGUAAUUGGAGACUUGAUGUGUAGGAAUUCUUGAGACACUAAUUUCAUUGUUGGUCAAGCUUUGGGUCUAGGUCGUAAGCAUGCAAAAGCAAUGACAGCAAUAAAAGCAAUGUCUCCUGCCAUUUUUUGACUUCUCGGGGUUGAUAAUCGAGGGUCCAAAAUUUCAUUUAGCAUGAAAUUUUGGACACGAGACAAUGAUGAUGAUAGUAUUGACAACAAUUCACCAGGAUGCUUUCCCAUCAAUACUUCCAACGCUAGCACUCCAAAACUAUAAACAUCACAUUUUUUGGUCAUGAGUCAUGACCAACGAAUAAGCAAGUUCUGUAAUUACAACAACAAAAAUAAUUAAAUACAUGUUAAUUUAUAUUUUGUAAUCAGCAUGUAUGUUUGCAUUUGAAUCCUCCAAUCUAGAAUUAAUUUUUUAUUUAUUUAUAUUUGAUAUUUCUUAAUUUUGUUUUUCCUAAUUGUUUCCCUCAUUAUUCUAAUUUGUAAUUCGCAACAAAUAAGCAGCAGAAACUAAAUAAAAAGGAAAAGAAGAGAGUGAAGGUGCAGAACCUGGGGCAAUAUAUCCAUACGUCCCAACAAUUACAGUUCGAUUAGAUGAAUCAGGAUCAAGAAGUCUUGCAGUCCCAAAGUCAGCAAUAACAGCUUCCAAUUCAGAGUUCAACAAAAUGUUAUUGCUUGAGAUGUCUCGAUGAACAAUUGGAGGGUUGCAAUCAUGAUGCAUGUAAGAUAGAGCAUGUGCGACACCUUUGACAAUGUUCACUCUUUUGGUCCAAUCCAAUUCCACAGCUUCCUCAUCAAUGCUCAAGGCAUAAAACAAGCUUCCCUUUUCCAUAUAUUCAUAAAUCAAGAACAUGCAACGGUUGUGGAGACAAAAUCCGUGGAGCUUGACGAUGUUCUUGUGUCGUAUUUCUGUUAAAAACUUGAUCUCAUUUCGGAAACUUGUGUCGUAAGCCGGUUGCUCCGCUUCCAAUCGGUGGAGUUUUUUUAAGGCAACAACUUUGCCAUUUGGUAAGACUGCUCUGUAAACACUGCCAUAACCACCCGUUCCAAUGCAAUAUUUGAUAUCAAAAUCCUCCGUUGCUCUGAUGAUGUCUUCAAAUGCAAUCUUUCCAUCAAAAUUCCAAAUACAAAAUAAAUCUCCAUUUUUGGUUGGACUUGGAAUAUGUUUCAAAGCUUCAGCUCUAUAUUAUCGGCAAAGGAUGAAUAUCAGCAAUGCAAAGUAUGAGAUAAGAAACAACACUGUCAGGACAAGAAUAAUGACGCCCAGAUUGUGAUUCGUUGAAGGGCAAGGAAGGAAGCCUUGAAAGGAACCACAUAAAUACUUGUUAUCAUAGAGAGCGACAGAUGUUAACUGGCCGAGAGAGGAAGGGAUGUGACCUGAAAGCCAAUUGGAGGAUAGAUUCAAAUUAAUCAAAUUUGUUAGUCUCCCAAUAUCUUCUGGAAUGGGUUCACUAAGUUGGUUACUUUGAAGGAACAACGAGUUAAGAUUGGUUAAGUUGCUGACAGAAGAUGGUAUUAGACCAACAAGACUAUUGGAGGAUAGAUCCAAUUCAAGCAAAUUCGUUAGUCUCCCAAUAUCUUCUGGAAUAGAUUCAUUAAGUUGGUUGAUUUGAAGGAACAACGAGGUAAGAUUGGUUAAGUUGCUGACAGAAGAUGGUAUUGGACCAACAAGACUAUUGGAGGAUAGAUCCAAUUCAACCAAAUUCGUUAGUCUCCCAAUUUCUUGUGGAAUGGAUCCAUUAAGUUGGUUGCUUUGAAGGUCCAACGAGGCAAGAUUGGUUAAGUUGCUGACAGAAGAUGGGAUUGGACCAACAAGCCUAUUGUAGGAUAGAUCGAAUGCAACCAAAUUCGUUAAUCUCCCAAUUUCUUGUGGAAUGGAUCCAUCAAGUUGGUUGCUUUGAAGGUCCAACGAGGCAAGAUUGGUUAAGUUGCUGACAGAAGAUGGGAUUGGACCAACAAGCCUAUUGUCGGAUAGAUCGAAUGCAACCAAAUUCGUUAGUCUCCCAAUUUCUUGUGGAAUGGAUCCACUAAGUUGGUUGCUUUGAAGGUCCAACGAGGUAAGAUUGGUUAAGUUGCUGACCGAAGAUGGUAUUGGACCAACAAGACUAUUGGAGGAUAGAUCCAAUUCAACCAAAUUCGUUAGUCUCCCAAUAUCUUCUGGAAUGGAUCCAUUAAGUUGGUUGCUUUGAAGGUACAACGAGGCAAGAUUGGUUAAGUAGCUGACAGAAGAUGGGAUUGGACCAACAAGCCUAUUGGAGGAUAGAUCUAAUGCAACCAAAUUCUUUAGUCUCCCAAUUUCUUGUGGAAUGGAUCCAUUAAGUUUGUUGCUUUGAAGGUACAACGAGGCAAGAUUGGUUAAGUUGCUGACAGAAGAUGAGAUUGGACCAACAAGCCUAUUGGAGGAUAGAUCUAAUGCAACCAAAUUCCUUAAGUCUCCAAAUUUCUUGUGGAAUGGAUCCAAUAAGUUGGUUGCUUUGAAGGUACAACGAGGCAAGAUUCGUUAAGUUGCUGAAAGAAGAUGGGAUUGGACCAAUAAGCCCGUUGUUUGAGAGAUCAAGAUCAACCAUACUCUCUAGCUUUCCAAUAUUUGGUGGAAUAUUGGAAUAAAUAUAAUUACAAGAAACAUCAAGCACUGCCAAUUGAGUGAGGUUUCCAAUUGAAGAAGGUAACUCACCUGUAAGGAUAUUCCAAGACAGGUUGAGGUACCUGAGCUUUGAAAGUGCUCCUAUUUGAGGUGUUAUGCUCCCAUUCAGACCAUGGCCACUAAGAUCAAUAUCGACGACACUUCCAGCAUUGCAUCGAAUACCAGGCCACAUACAAUGGUUUCCAACUCUCUUUUUAUAAUUACUCCACCACCCUGUUUCCAUCAAGGCUUGUGCCUCUGCUGCCAGCCAUUUAGAAUCAUCGUUCGUUGCUCUUGUAAUUCCACUAGUGAUCACAAUUAUAGAGAGUAAAAAGAAGGUAGGGAUAGAAGUGUAAAAGUAGGAUUUCAUAGCUAUGAAGUUGAGGACUCCAAUUCUCAAACUUGAGCUUAUUUAAAUACAUAUAAAACAGAUUUAAGUUUAUUGGAUAUAUAUUAAUUUCAAAGUCUUUAGGCAUUGUCUAACACAGAUUGAUUAAUAUUAUGUUAAGGACUUGUCUUCGUCUCUUAGAAGUAAACUGGAAGUUAUAGCAAAUGUUGUGUCUUUCUUUGUUGAAGCUUCUAAGAAGGUGAUAAUUGAAUAAAAUGCGAUGCUUUUUUUAUUUUACUAAUACCACUCCAUAAAGCGAUGUCAGAUUGGACCAACCAAUUUGUUCGUUGAUAUAUUUAAACUCACAGGAUUUUUCAAAUUUCCAACAACUGCUGGCAUAGGACCUGUAAUUAAAUCAUAAAGGAGUAUAUCAUAUAAUAUUCAACUUUAGGUUAUAUAUAAAUAAAAGGGAUAUAUAUACAUACUAUUCUAUCUUAGAAAAUAUUUUUUCAAAUUUAGUAAUGCGUUGAAAUUAUAUAUUCCAGUUCGACAAGAAAAGUUAGUAAUGCGUUGCUUCCACAUGCUAUCAUCUCUCUUAAUUAUUUACUAUUGAUGCCCUGAAAAAAACUUGUAGAACAACUAAAAACCAUGUCCAUAAGAGAUCAAUCGACCAUUAUUGACUUGAAAGUUCAAAGUCUUUACUAGUCUUUACCUAACAUUUCCCUACAUGUUUAUAUUGAUGGGUCCAGAAAUAGCAAUGCUUGACAAAACAUUUUCCCUAUUAUUUUACUUAUAGAGUAAAAUACAAGAAUAAUCAUUCAAUUAUUCAAUUCUUACUAUUUUAGUCACUCAAUUGUUAAUUUUUUUUAUAUUUUUAAUUAUUUAAAUUUUUAGAAUUAAAUAUUUUAAUCACUCUUGUAUUGAUUGUCCAACGAAAACGCGAGCAAUGCUAUGUGCUAGACUGAAAAAAUUGAUAACACUGUAUAUAAUCUAAUAUAUGUCACGCACUACAAAAUUUAAUUGAUAAUCCUAAAAAAAAUGCACAAAAUCCCAAACGUUGGUUUUUGCGUGGGUCAUACGCUAAAAUCACGCAAAAACCAACGUUAAAAGUUGUAAUUAAUUUUUUAAAAUUAAAUUAAUAAUAUUUUUUAGUUGAAUUUUAUGCUUGAAGAGCUAAUAUUAUAAAGACUUAUAAAAUCGACUCUUAUAUUAUUUUUAGAAAAAUAUUACUAAAUAUACUAUAAAAUUUUAUUUUUUAGACUUAAUUCAAAAUUUUCAGUUCAUUUUUAUUCUCAAAAUCUAAAUUGUAAAAGUAAAUUAUAUUCUUAAUUUUUUAAUUUCUUAUAAUAAAAAAGUCAUGUCAAGAAAAGAAGAGGUAAAAAGUAGAGAACCAAUAAUUUUGAUUAAUAUUUUUAUUUUUUCUAUACUAUUUUAAAGAAUGAGUGUCGAAACCCUUUUUUACUUGCGUUUUGAAAAUCAGGGUUCGACUUUUGAAAAAUAAAAACGGGAGUCGCCACCAAUCUUUUAAAGUGUGAUUGGAUCACUUUUACAAAAUGUUUUGGUCUACGAAAUUACGAGAAAAUAAGUUCGGGAGUCGGUUACGUUCGAGGAAAUUGGUACCAAAUUGAAUAAUUUUGUCUUAAUGUCAGAAUUUUGAAAGAAUAAUAUUUCCUUUAAACCGUGAUGUUUUGAGAGAAGAAUCAAGAUUUAUUCGUUUUAAAAUAGUAUAAACAUCACGUCCAACAUGAUUGAACAUGAUAUCUUUAAUCUUUCGUAACCGAAGUCAUCUCGUGAUUUAUAAAACUUGUUUAAAAGGGUAUUAUAAAUAUUUAGACAAACGAAAAAUUGCAACCCAGCAUGUUAGGGCACUAUUUCUCGAAUUUCUAAGUAUUCAAAACAUUGCCUUGCUUCUUUUUAAAAAAUUCCUUUUAAUGACUUUGAGUUUUAAAAAUAAUGAUAUGUUUCACAUAUUAAGAGAUUAAAUACAAUACAUAUAUAUGCUUUAUUAUUCCAUGCAAAUAUAGUAAAGGUGACAAUAAAAGAUAGCAUAAAUUACACAACAUACAAUAUCAUUUUACACAUACACCAUCAUAAUGUUCAUGCACUAUUGUUCCACACAAAAUAUCAUACAACACAUAAAUACAACAAGUAUAAAUUACAGUAUACACAUGAUAAUAUCUUAUACUAACCACCAAAAAUGAUUAACCUUAUGGAAAUAUACGAAAAGAAAUAUUAUAUAAAAUUUAACCUAUUAAAACUAUAUAAAAAAAAUAAAAGAGAAUAAAUAAACAAAUUAAAUGUAUAAAAAAAAGUUAGCUAUUUAGAAAUAUAUUAAAGAACAAUAAAAAGAAACCCCCUUUUUCAAAAUAUAUAUACAAAUUAUAUUAUAAGGUAUAAUAACUUAGUAUAUAAGAAAAAUAGUAUAUUAGAUGUUGUUAUUCUUUUUAAAAAAUAUAUAUAUAUAAUUAAUAAGUAAUAAUGUGUGCUUUAGGAUAAAGGUAAUAAAAUAUAAUUUACAUAUAAAAAUAUGUAAUAAUAUAAAUCAUAUAAUAAUAAAAUAUAUGUAAUAAAAUAUAUAAUAUAAUAUAAAAAGAAUAAUAUUAAUAAUCUAAUGGGUAUUUCAUAUAAAAAUAUAGUAAAAUAAUUGAUACAUAUAAGAAAAUGCAUAGUAUUUACUAAUUUUAUAAAUAAAAUAUAUAAUAAUAUGAAUAAUAUAAUAUAUAAUAUAUAAAAAUACUAUGUACUAAAACAUAUAAUAUAAAUGUAAAUAAUAUAUACAUAUAAAAGUAUAUGAAAAAUUAAAAAUAUAUAAUAAUAUAAUAGAUAAAAUAUAAUAAAAUAAAUAAUAUAUAUAAUGAAAAUACAUAUAAUAUAUAGUAAAAUACAAUAUAAAAUAAAAUAUAUAUAAAAAUAUAUGAUAAAAAAUAUAUUAGAUAAUAAAAAAUAAUAUAUACACUAUUUUAUAAUAAACAUUAAAAGUAUAUAUGUAAAAAAAUCUAUUUAAUUGAAAAUUCCGGGGUUAAUUUGUAAAAAUAAUAAAAAUUUUGGAUUUAAUUAAAACAUAUGCUAAAACUGAAGGACUUAUUGGGUAAUUAAACCCUAAUCCCAAAACGGCAUCGUUCUCUGGAACUGAUUUUUAAAAAAAAACGCUAGGAUUAAAUUGAAAAAACUAUAAAAUAUUGGGGUUAAAUUCGAAUAACGCUAAAAUGAAAUUAAAAUAUUCGAAAACAUGGAAGGGUCAAUUGGGUAAUUUUCCCAUUUAUCAAAAACACACGGAUCCUCCCCGGGUAAUCGGGUCAACGCGCGGAUCUUCCAUUUGAAACGACGCCCGUUUAAAUGCUUAUUGAAUUAAGCCAAACGACGUCGUAUUUCAAGGGCUAUAUAAGCCAAAACUUAGCCCGAAAUUUCAUUUGUAAGCCUGCUUUUUUUUUAAAAAAAAGGAAACUCUCUGAAAGAGAGUUAAGGGCAGACCCUCGGAGCGCUGUAAUGUCUUCGUCAUCGGGUCCCCUACACGCCUACGCGCCACCACACAUGGUGGUCGGAAGGUAAAGAAAAACUUCUCCUUUUUAGCGAAAAUCAGGUAAUCUCUUUUCCUUUUACUAUUUGUAAUAAAAAAAAUCACCUUUGUACUUGAGUAGCUACUGGUUCUGUAAAUUAGUAACACUGUAUUUUGUCGGAUUUGUGUGUAUAUUUCUCCUCUGGUAAAUUGUGUGUAUCUUAUUCUUUGUAAAAAACUCACCCUACAAAUUAGAAAAAGACGGGUUUUUAUAACCCUUUGUAAGUGAUUUACAAUCUAGGAAAGAAAUCCUUUGAUUUCUUUCUAUAUUUUGCCUCUAUUUUCUGUUGUGUUUUUUUUUUAUUUUGUAGAUGUCUCGCGAGGAAAUCAGCGAAUCAGGGUGAUCAGGCCCUGAUGGCUUCGGUGCUGGCGCUGAUCUGCUUUCAUUUGGCUUCAACCACAGCCAAAUUCGAGGUCGGGAAUCGCGGCGUCGAUUGGGGCAGAUGGAACGACAGAAGUUGAAGGGGCGUGACUGAUGGGGUGAUUACAGCGCAAAGCAUCUGAAACCCUAGGGUUUCCAGAUUCUGUUUAGGCAUUGGGCCUCAUUUAGGUUGGGUAAAUUUUGGGCCAAAGGUUUAGGCUAACUGGGUUGUAACCGGGUGCUGGGUUUUGGUAUUUGGGCCUUUGUAAACUGGACUGUAAUGGACUAUUUAUUUAUCCAAUUUUAGCCCGGUCAAAUUUGGGCUACUACAAUGAGUAUUGAAUAUUUCUAUACAGAUAAUACAAAGAUUAAUUUUGAAGAAUUUAAAAAUAACUUUCCCCAAUUUUCUCUCACUCUAAUUUUUUUUAUUUUUGAUUCACUUUUAUAUGAUUUUUUAUUUUUUGAAUUUUCUAAUUAUUUUAAAACAAUUUCAAUUUUAAUCAUUUUAAAUAUAAUCAGGAUCAAAUUGAUAGAAAACAUAAAAUCUGACCAUUAAAUUAUUAUUAUACAAAUUAAAAUAACCAACCUUUGACAACAAAAAAAACCCUAAACUCCAAACAUAGUUUAUAACUACUUAAUUUUCUAAUGCUUAAUUAUAUAACACUUUUUGGUAUAUGUGAAACUCAUUUUCUACUAACUACUUAAAUGAGAGUAAUCAAAUAAAUUGAUUUUUAUGUAGAUUGGAGCACAAAGUUAGAAGACUUAAAUUCCAUCAACGGCUCCAUGUUAGAAGUGCGAGCAUAAUUUGCAUGCUUUAAACCAACGUUGACUUACUUCGUGGAGAAUGUAAUAUGUUGACAAUAAUGGUUAAUGGUUUCUAUCAAGUUUCGAGGAAUAUUGCUUAUGAAGACAAUAAUGGUUUCCGCGUGGGUCAUAGGCUUUUCAUGGCAACCCGUAACGACUGGGCUCAAAUCAAAAUAUACAAGGAAGACCUUGACUUCCUAAGCAAUACUGAUACGAACCGUCUCGGGAAGAGUCGAGUCGUAUGUAGAUUGCCCGAUCGUCUACGAGAAGUUACGUUAGGAUUAGUUGAGUUGAAGGUAUAGUCUGAGUAGAAAGAGGGGUACGAAUGGAAUGGUAGGAACGAAAGGGUAGGAACAAAAUGGUAUGAACAAAUUGGUCGGUUUAGGUUCGAUUAGGUAAAGAAGAAAGAACGGGUUUGAACUACUAAAGGUACUUUCAAGAACCAAAUACCGAAAUGGUAUCGACCCGUUGAUUUAGCCUUUUGAGUUCUGUUAUAGGUUUGGUAAGGGAAACCUCGACCCACUAUCUAACAAGAUAGGAACCUCGGUAUGUUGAACGCCACACUACGAAUAGUGAUAAGUUCGGGUACGACAAAGAACACGGUUGACACAACUAGAAUGCAAGGAACGCCAAACGAAUCUUUGAACGAAAUAUAAGUAAAGUCAGAGACAUUAAAACUAGCACUAACAUUGUACUCACCUGGUAAGUCAAGCUUAUACGAAUUUUCAUUGAUUCGCUCGAUGACUUGGAAGGGGCUGUCUCCUCCCGGCAACAACUUAGAUCUUCGUUGAGCCGGAAACCUUUCUUUUCUCAUGUGCACCCAGACCCAGUCUCCGGGUUCAAAUACUACUCGUUUUCGUCCUUUGUUGGCUCGUUGGACGUAUUGCUCGGUUCGAGAUUCAAUAUUCUCUUCGACUUUCCUAUGUAAUUCCUUGACAAAUUCAGCCUUUUUCCUUGCAUCUGUAUAGACAAAUUGAUCAACAGGAAAAGGUAAUAAAUCAAGAGGAGUAAGAGGAUUAAAUCCAUAGACAGUCUCAAAAGGAGAAAAUUUGGUUGCCGAGUGAACAGAGCGAUUAUAAGCGAACUCGAUGUGGGGUAAGCAUUCUUCCCACGUCUUGAGGUUCUUUCGUACCAACGCUCGCAACAAAGUUGACAAAACUCGGUUUACCACCUCGGUUUGGCCAUCCGUUUGAUGAUGACAAGUGGUUGAAAAUAAUAACUCGUCCCAAGUUUUCCCCAUAAUGUCCGCCAAAAGUGACUCAAGAACUUUGUAUCUCGAUCGGAAACAAUCGUUCUUGGUAAUCCAUGCAGUCGUACAAUUUCCCUAAAAAACAAAUUAGCAAUAUGCACAGCGUCAUCAGUUUUAGCGCAAGAAAUAAAAUGUGCCAUUUUAGAGAAUCUAUCGACUACAACAAAGAUUGAGUCCUUCCCUGUCUUAGUUUUCGGUAAUCCAAGAAUAAAAUCCAUAGAGACAUUGGUCCACGGGGUGUCGGGAAUGGAAAGUGGUGUGUAAAGUCCAUGAGGUUGGACCUUUGACUUAGCCCGUUUACAAAUUAGGCAGCGUUCACAGAUCCGCUCCACGUCUCUCCGCAUUCGCGGCCAGUAAAAAUGUUCAUGGAGGGUCGACAAUGUCUUGCUUAUUCCAAAGUGUCCCAUCAGGCCACCAUUAUGCGCCUCCAACACAAGUAACUCUCGAAUGGAGCCUUGUGGUAUGCACAACAUAUUUUCUUUAAAAAGAAACCCUUCGUACCUAAAAAAUUUCUCAAAAGACCCAUUUUCACAAGCAGCAUAUAUAUUUCCAAAAUCCUCAUCAUUAGCAUACAACUCUUUCACAUGAUAAAAACCAAGUAACUUAGAAUCAAGAGUGGUCAAUAAGGUAUAUCUCCGUGACAAGGCAUCAGCCACUACAUUUUCUUUACCUUUCUUGUAUUUGAUGACGUAGGGAAAUGAUUCUAAAUACUCGACCCAUUUUGCAUGUCGUUUGUUGAGUUUAUGCUGACCUUUAAUAAACUUAAGUGCUUCAUGAUUGGAAUGAAUCACGAACUCCUUCGGUCUUAGAUAGUGCUGCCAAGUUUCAAGUGAUCGAAUCAAGGCAUACAUCUCUUUGUCGUACACCGGAUAAUUGAGGGAAGCGCCACUUAAUUUCUCGCUGAAGUACACCACCGGUCUUCCUUCUUGGGUCAACAUAGCCCCGAUCCCUACACCUGAAGCGUCACACUCAAUUUCAAAUGUUUUAGUAAAAUCUGGAAGGGACAAUGGAGGAGCUUUCACAAGACAUUCUUUAAUCAAAUUAAAUGAACGUUCUUGAUCUUCAGACCAGUGAAAUGUGGAGUUUUUCUUAAUCACGCUUGUUAAGGGUGCUGCAAUGGUACUAAAGUUGGGCACAAAUCGACGGUAGAAGCUAGCCAAUCCAUGGAAGCUUCGAACUUGGCUAAUGUUCGUCGGACGCGGCCAUUCUUGAAUCGCUUGAACUUUUUCUUGAUCCACCUCCAAACCGUUGGCACUCACGACAUAACCUAAAAACACAACUUUAUCAGUGCAAAAUGAACACUUUUUGAGAUUAGCAUACAAUACCUCUUUUCGUAAAGUUUCCAACACCGCUCGUAAAUGUGGUACGUGCUCCUCUAAAGUUUUGCUGUAGACCAAGAUAUCGUCAAAGUAUACAACACAAAAUUUACCAAUAAACGCACGUAAUACAUGGUUCAUCAAUCUCAAAAAAGUGCUGGGGGCAUUUGUAAGGCCGAAUGGCAUUACCAACCAUUCGUACAAACCCAAUAUCGUUUUGAAGGCCGUCUUCCAUUCAUCACCUUCUCGCAUUCGUAUUUGAUGAUAGCCACUUUUAAGAUCGAUUUUCGUGAAAAUCUGGGCUCCACUUAAUUCGUCAAGCAUGUCGUCAAGACGGGGUAUCGGGUGUCGAUACUUGAUAGUGAUUUUGUUGAUGGCGCGAUAGUUCACGCACAUCCGCUACGACCCAUCUUUCUUGGGUACAAGCAGCACCGGCACCGCACAGGGACUUAAGCUCUCUCGGAUGUAUCCUUUGUCUAGGAGUUCAGUAAUUUGCUUUUGCAAUUCCUUUGUUUCUUCAGGAUUACUCCGAUAAGCAGGACGGUUGGGUAGUGCAGCUCCGGGUACUAAGUCUAUUUGAUGUUCGAUGCCUCGGAUAGGGGGCAGCCCACUUGCUAUUUCGUCCGGAAAUAUGUCUUCAAAUUCCUGAAUCAAAGACAAUACAGAAGCAGGCAAGUUUUCAGGUAACUCAUUAGUAUUCAACAAUGCCUUCUUGUACAUAAAUACAUACAUAGGCUGUCUCAAAAACAUCGCUCGCCGGAUAUCACUAACCCUCGCAAACACACUCAUUUUUCCACUUUCUUUUUCCUCUCCACUUUUUACUUAUUUUUGUUUCUUUUCAUUUUCUCUCGCAUUUUUAGUCUUUUCUCUCUCUUUUUCCUUAAUUUUCUCUUUUGCACUCUUUUCUUUUUCUCUCGCUUGUUCCACUGAAAGUUUAAGUUUUUGUUGAUCCUCGUACACUUGCUUCGGAGUGAGGGGUGCAAGUGUCACGUUCUUGCCAAGAUGUUUGAAGGAGUAUCUAUUAGUGUAACCAUCAUGCAUCACCCGUCGGUCGAACUGCCAUGGUUGUCCUAGAAGCAAAUGGCUCGCGUGCAUUGGCACUACAUCACAUAAUACUUCAUCAGAAUACUUCCCGAUGCUAAAGGACACUAGGACUUAUUUUGUCACUUUGAGUUCACCGCCAUCGUUAAGCCGCUGGAGCUUGUAUGGAUUCGGGUGCUUGGUGGUUGACAGGCCCAACAUUUCUACCAUGAGGGUGCUUACCACGUUUGUGCAACUCCCUCCAUCGAUUAUGAUGCUACACACUUUCCCUUGAACUUGACAUCUCGAAUGAAAAAUGUUCUCACGUUGUUGUUCGUCUUCCACACUUUGAAGACUUAGGCUUCGCUUGACGACGAGUAACUCACCUUCAACGGGUUGUUCUAAGUCCUCCUCAACUUCAGAAUUUGAUUCAGGAUUGUUCUCUUCCUCGUCCUCCGUUUCAAUCUCACCGUCGGCCCUUAUCACCAUGGUACGUCUAUUCGGGCACUGACUCGCUAUAUGUCCACGACCAAGACACUUGAAGCACUUUAUGUCCCUUGAACGGGCGGUGGAACUUUCAGGAGCUUUACCUUUACUUGACUCAACAAUAGGCUUAUUCGCCUUAGAUAUUGUUGAAGAAUCCUUCGUUUGAUUUGUUGGAAAACCCUUGCUUGUGCUUUGGCCCCAUUUAGAAGGAUUGGUGUUAGGAUAGGCUCGGGUGGUACCUUUUCGCUUCAACUGCUUCUCCACUUUGAUAGCCAUGUGGACCAUGUCCACAACCUCAACAUAAUGUUGCAGUUCUACGACAUUUGCAAUCUCUCGAUUAAGUCCCGCUAGAAAGCGAGCCAUUGUGGCUUCUCGAUCUUCUUGUAUAUCGGCACGGAUCAUAGCCACUUCCAUUUCUUUAUAAUAGUCUUCCACACUCUUCGUCCCUUGGAUGAGAUUUUGGAGUUUUUGAUGCAACUCCCGAUUAUAGUAGGAUGGAAUGAAUCGUCGUCGCAUAACCGCCUUUAUUUCGGUCCAAGUGGAAAUGGGAUGCUCCCCGUUACGCCUCCGACUAGUGGUCAACUGAUCCCACCAUAUCAUUGCGUAAUCUGAAAACUCAAUUGUGGCGAGUUUGACUUUCUUAUUUUCAGAGUAGUUAUGACAUUCGAACACUAAUUUGAUUUUCUUCUCCCACUCAAGGCACGCCUCGGGAUCAGAUUUACCUUGGAAAGGAGGAAUGGAGAGUUUGAUAUUCUUCAAGUCAUCAUCUUCCCGCCUUCGAUCUACUUGUCCACGGUUUUGGGGACAUCUCCUUUCUAGGCUUAUGUUAGAACCGUGAUCGCUUUCAUCUUCACUAUUUUCAUUAACAUCAUCAUCUUGAACCCUUGGUUGUCUUCGUCGUUGAUUAGGCCCUUCACGUCUUUGCCUAGCAACUUCAGGAUAUUCAUCGCGUUGUCUUUGGCCCUCGACUUGGUAGAGUCUAUCUUCAAGAGGAUUAAGCCUUCAAUCAAGUAAUUGUUCCAUCUCACGCAAAAGGGCUUGCAUUUGCAAAUCUGGAACGUUUCUGACAGGUUGUCGCCCUUGUUGUUCUUCCAUGUUUUAUCCACUAUUUUGGGACAUCUAUUCAUUUAAGAUAGCCUCACAAACAAAUCCUCUCAAUCCGCUCAGAAAGAAAGAAGCUUGAUGACAUUCACACUCGUGUUUACACUCUUAGUUCGGCUUUUACCUCCCCUCGAAUGCGCUCACGCUCUCUUGCCUUUUACCUCUCUUGACUUUUCUCGUAAUUUCGUAAGCAGAUUCGUUAAGGCUCGGUCCUUGGUCUAGGUGGUCGGUUCAAAAGGGAUAAUAAGUGAUUGAUGUAUUCGAUAUAGGGUAGGCUGAAAGAAUAGGGAAUUGGGUAAAAAAUGUGGCGAAUUAGGGAGAGUAGAAUAGAAGAAGGGUCGGGAACUAUAUCAGAUCAAAGCUUGACGAUCAAAUAACAAUUGAAUUGCAUAAAUCACUUUUUUCGAUUUUUUUUAUUUUUUUUUCGAAUUUUUUUUCGAAUUUUUUUAUUUAUUUUUUAACUUGCAUAACUUUUUUUUGUUGUACUAUAUCGACAAACUAAAUACAAUAAAAACACUUUUGUACACGAUCUUUUUUUUUCGGCUGCGUAGAUUUUUGUUUUUAUAGCAACAAUAACAAACUAAUCGAAAUGAGAAAACUUCGGUGUACGAAUUUUUUUUUCUAUACUCUUUUUUUUUUCUGAACCUACCUCGGGAAUGCUCCGCUUCGAACGUCUAAGCUUCUCGUUUUAGGUAGCUCUGAUACCAGAUGAUACGAACCGUCUCGGGAAGAGUCGAGUCGUAUGUAGAUUGCCCGAUCGUCUACGAGAAGUUACGUUAGGAUUAGUUGAGUUGAAGGUAUAGUCUGAGUAGAAAGAGGGGUACGAAUGGAAUGGUAGGAACGAAAGGGUAGGAACAAAAUGGUAUGAACAAAUUGGUCGAUUUAGGUUCGAUUAGGUAAAGAAGAAAGAACGGGUUUGAAAUACUAAAGGUACUUUCAAGAACCAAAUAUCGAAAUGGUAUCGACCCGUUGAUUUAGCCUUUUGAGUUCGGUUAUAGGUUUGGUAAGGGAAACCUCGACCCACUAUCUAACAAGAUAGGAACCUCGGUAUGUUGAACGCCACACUACGAAUAGUGAUAAGUUCGGGUACGACAAAGAACACGGUUGACACAACUAGAACGCUAGGAACGCCAAACAAAUCUUUGAACGAAAUAUAAGAAAAGUUUGCCUCACGAUUUUGGCAGCAUAACAUUAACAAAAGUUUCAAAAAGUGCUUUACAUGGAAAUUGAACAAGUAUUUAUAAGCCUAAGUCUAGGUAGCCGAAUGGCCUUUCAUACUUACACAUUAAUUAAAAGAAAAUUCUAGAAAAAUAACUCUUAAUAUGCAUGACCAGAUUCGGUUUUAGGAAUGGUGGAUGAAUGCAUCUUCAUGCUUAAGAAAACUCAAAGUGAAUGCAUGAUAUCCAAUGGUCACUUGUAGAUUCGGCCAACCUUGUUAAAUGAAGCAAUGUUUGGCUAAAAAGUAUGAAUUAAUUGUGGACACUCCAAGGGCCAUCAUGUGUGUGAAACCGAAUGUUGAAGAGUCUUCUAGUGUGAACAAGGUGAACCGAAUAGUCUUGCCAUGUGAACAUAGGUGUGAACGAAUUAAGGAGAGUCAUGGGGAAGCUAAUUGGCCAAGCUAUCUUCAUGCAUGUGUGAGUGUCCUUUGGCCGAAUGGUCACCUUGGAGAAUGAAGAGAUAGCACACCAUACAUGAAUGGAAACAUUCAUGAACCUUAAAGACAUUGAAUAUGGUCAUACAUGCACUUAGCCGAACAUGCACCUAAGAGAUUCAAAUCCCCCAACCGUCCAUGCACCUUCAAAAUUCAUGCUUGCUUUUAAUCUCCAUAUGUCCAUUGCGUUUCUACAAGAAAUGUGAACAGAAUUAAUUCAAACUAAUGUGAACACAAAUAUCAACAUUAAAUUCGGUUAUGACAAAUUUAAUUAUCAUCAAUAAACACUUUUAAGACAUACUUAAUAUAACUAAUGUGAACUAAAUUUAUUAUGUAGGAUAUUAAUUAACUAAUUAUUGAACUUAUUAAUUAAAAAAGUCAAUAGUAGUCAAAUGAAUUCAAAGUGAACUCCAUAAGCUGAUGGUUAAUUCAUGAGCUAAACCCGAGCUGGGCUUAAACUCGUGAGCUGAUAAUGAGCUGGUCCCGAGCUAAUGAGCUGGUGUGGAGCUACAUGGGAGCUAACUUGAACUGAAGGUGAGCUCGGUGAGCUGAACUGAACUUGUAGAAAAGUUCGGCAGAUAUUUCCAAAAUGGCCACUAACUGGUUCGAUAGGUCUAGCAUUGACAUCAUCCCACACAGGCUGAACUAAAGCUAUAACAGCUUCUUUAAAUUGUUUUGCACGAGCCCUUGUGAUCGGCCCUUGAGGUAGCACCAUCGGAUCUCGGCUUGGACUUGACUUAUGGGAAGCCGUGAUCGUAUCAAAUACACUUGCUUAAAUUCACUUCCAUCUUCAUCUUUAUUCAAACACCAAUUUCUUAGCAAGUGCUCCAUUACCUUUUUCUAAUUUUAACUUUUUCCUUUCAAUUUCUUUUAAAACAAAAACUAAACUCAUUAAAAUUGAAAGAAAAACUUAUUAAUUCAUUCCAUAAAUGAGAUCAUACAAUUUAGAAAAAAAAACAACAAACACUCGUUAGUGUUAAGGACAAGCUCCAACAACACGAUAAAGACUUUAGCCUUUGCUACAUUUUACCUUAACAUAAAUGAACAAGGGAUUAAACAUAUGGAAACAAUUAUAUAUCCAUUAUAAUCAAAUUACAAAAUUCAACUUUAGGAUUUCUUAAAGAAUCAAACCAUAACAUACCAUAUCACAUAACCUAUCAAUUCAUUCCAAGUACAAGUUAUUAAUAACUUAUAAUCAAGAGAAAGAAGAUGAGAAUAGCUCAUCUUUUACCAUUUCUUUACUUAUUAUUAUUAAAAUAUAAAUCUUACCUAAAGAUGAUCUAAUGGUUAUGGUUGGUUGAUAGAAAAUUUAGUGGCAAUCAAUGGUUGAUAUCAUUACUAGCCACUAGCACUUUCGUCAAUUAUGGGAUAAUUUUUAUUAAGGGCUUAGUAUAUCAUUUAACAAGGACUUAUUCAAUUCUUCAAUGGUCGGUGGAGGUUCAGCAACAACAGGCACUGUUAUCUGUCCAUCACAAGUUGUGAAGGCAACGAAGAUAUCUACAAAGUAGAUUUAAAAAUUAAAAAGAGAUAAGGCACAUAAAAUGAAUAAAGAGAGGAAAAAAUAAGUUGAGUGGGAGGAAAAAAAUAGACGGACAAUAACCAACCCGCUCGACUGCUAGCACCACUAUUAGACAAAACAAAAUAGAAAAAGCAAAUGGCUUAAAGAAAAAAAAAUUCUUUUAAGGUUUUCCAAUAAAUUCGAGGUCUUGAAAUGAGUUUCUAAGAAUGAUUAAAUAAUGGUUGGAACUAAUAGAAUACUUAAAAAAAAGUUUUUGGGCAUUCUUUAAAUUUAACUCUAUGCGAGGUUUCUUAUGUUUGAUGCCCAAAAGAAUUUGAAUGUAAAUUUAGAAAUAAAUUUGAAAAAAAAUCUUAUUAUAUUUUUGAAAAUUUUAUAUAAAUUUGAAUAUAUAUUAAUCUUUAUUUUUUUUACCUUAUAAAAUUUAUUUCACAUAACAAACAUUUUAUGCAACAUGACACUUUUCUAGCAUGUCAUGUUAGUGUUCUUUUUAAUAGGUAUAAAAUUUCAAACUCAAAAGGAAUUUUUGUAGGGUUAAAAUAUGCUUCAAGUCAUUGUACUCUUUGUAUAUUUGAAUUUUAAUUUAUUUAUUUUUUAGAUUUCAAAAUUCAUGUCAAUUGUUAUAAUCAGAUUAAAGUUUAUUAAUUUCGUUGGUGUGAAAUUUUAAAAUAAUAAAACAAAUUAAUUAGUAGAUAUGUAACGAAAAAUGAUAUUUUAAUAAAUCUAAAUUUGAUCGAUGAGUUUUAACGGUAUUAAUAAUUGGAUUUGUAUUUUUAAAUUCAAAAAGUAAAAAGAUUAAAAUCCUUAAAAUAAAAGUAGGAGAACUAAAUUCUAAAUGCACGACUAAUAUAGGGCCUUGCAGCCUAUUUUAACUUUUCUUUUCUUAAUAACAAACUAAUAGUAGAGUAUAAUUUUGAGAGCUAAAUUAACCUUUAACCUGAACCUCAAUUGUCACCUAUUGACUAGAUGCUUACAUUUCUCCUAUAAUAACUUUAAUUCGAAGCACAGUUAUAUAAAAUAAAAUAACCUUAAACCCAUAAUAUAAGAAUGAAGAAAAAUAGUAUUUCCAAAGCAAAACACUCCAAAGCUAUAAACAUUACCUCUUUUUAGUGACAACCAUAGGAUUUGGACAUGCUAUUCUCUAUCCUAUGCUCCAGAAUUCACCGAUGUUUAUUUUUUUCUUAAAAUAAUCACACGUACGCUAGACCUGUUCAUGGGUCGGGUCACCCGGCCCAACCAAAAGCCUGCCCGAAAUGUGGGAGGGUUUGGGCAAAAAUAUAAGUACGAAAAAUUGGCUUGAACAAAAAAAUAUGGUCCGUUUAAAAAAGGGCUGCCCUCGGGUAAGGUAUUUUUGGCCCGGGCUUGGCCCGAAUUCAUUAAAGGACAUAAAAAAUCUGCUCUGUUUUUUUUUAAUAUUAUUUACUUGUUGUUUUCUCUCAUUUUGCUACUAUUUCACUAUUAUAUUGUUAUUAUUUGGAUAUUGUAUAAAACUUAUUUUAUUGUUAAUUUUGUUAUUAUUUUAAAGGCAUUUGUUAAUUUUGUUAUUAUUUUAGAAAUAUUUGCUUGUUAGGUUGCAUAUAUCUUAGUGUUAUUUAAGUCUACAUAUUUUUUAAAAUUUAUUUUCAAACACCAAUUUGGGAUCAUAUAAUUCAAACACCAAUUUCUUUAAAAACAAAAUCUAAUCUCAUUAAAAUUGAAAACAAAAAUUCAUUAAUUCAUUCCAUAAAUGAGAUUAUAUAAUUUGGGAAAAAGAAAAAGAAUCAACAAACACUUGUCGACAGUGAAAAACAAGCUCCAACAACACGACAAAAGCUUUAGUCUCAACAUCAAUAAAACAUUAUGACAAGCUAAUAAUCAACUUUAUCACAACUCAACAUCAACAAAAAAAAAUAAUUUUUAUAUUUUUUAAAUAAUUCCGAAUUUUUUAGUAGGUAUGAUAAUAAUAAUAAUUUGAUUUAAUCCCAUCUUAUUUCUACUUUUUAGUCACUCACCAAACUAAUUUCAAUUUUGAAUUUAAUCAAAAUAAAAUAAAUUUGAUUUAAUCCCAUCUUAAUUUCGUGUUUAAAUUUGCAAAUUAAAAACAAUAACUCUAAAUUUGAAAUUAAAAAAAAUCAAUUUGGCCCCUUAAAGGUUUAAAAUUCUGUUCCAAUCCUAAAAAUCAAUAUGAGAUUUAAUUUAAACCAUGAUUUAGAACCAAACUUUUAAUUCUAAUUCUAAAAUUAAGUUAAAAUUUAAAUUAUUUCUAAAAUUAUAUUAAAAUGUGGAUUCUGUUUAAAGAGGUCAUUUAAACCAUAUUCAAUAAAAUUAAAACCUAACAACCUCGAAAUUGAAAUGCACGAAAACAAUGGAAAUUAAAUAAUUUUUUUAUUUAAUGUAAUUUUAGAUAGUUAAUAUGGGAAUUAAAUUUGUUUUUAUAAUGUAACUCAUUUUGUGAUUUGAUUACUUUAAUCAAAUAAGUACUCUGUUGUGAAGAAGCUAAUUAAUUAAAUUAAAUUAAGUUAUAUUUAAUUUUAAAAAAUAUUUCUAUUGAUAUUUAUAUAUGUUAUUUAUUAGAUUAUGUAAAUUUUAACUAAAAUUAAAUAUUAAUCUUGAUUAUUAAAACAUAGUUCUAGUUAUUAAAAUUCAUGCUUUCAACCAAAAGUUUUAAAUAUUUUAUAGGAAAAAAAGAAAGCAACUAUGAAUAACAAUGUCGUGCCUUGUUGAAGAUUUAUUCUAUUUAUCACUUUCCAUUGGUUCCUAUAUUAUUACAUCAACUUCAAAUCAUUUAUUUAUUUGUGAUUUUCAUCGCUCAUAAACAUCUCAUGAUUCUUAAGUUCGAUCAAUGAUAUUUCAUGAAGAGGCAUUGCAAUUGGAGACUUGAUGUGUAGGAAUUCUUGAGACACUAAUUUCAUUGUUGGUCGAGCUUUGGGUCUAGGUCGUAAGCAUGCAAAAGCAAUGACAGCAAUAAAAGCAAUGUCUCCUGCCAUUUUUUGACUUCUCGGGGUUGAUAAUCGAGGGUCCAAAAUUUCAUUUAGCAUGAAAUUUUGGACACAAGACGAUGAUGAUGAUAGUGUUGACAAUAAUUCACCAGGAUGCUUUCCCAUCAAUAUUUCCAACGCCAACACUCCAAAACUAUAAACAUCACAUUUUUCGGUCACGACCAACGAAUAAGCAAGUUCUGUAAUUAAAAUAAAAAAGAAAAGUUAAAUAGAUGUUAAUUUAUAUUCUGUAUUCAGCUUAGUUUAUGUUUGCAUUUGAAUCCUCCAAUCUCGAAUUAAUUUUUGUAAUUUAUAUUUGAAAUUUUUUAAUUUUGUUUUUCCUACUUGUUUCCCUCAUUAUUCUAAUAAGUAAUUCGAAACAAAUAAGCAGCAGAAACUAAGAAUGGAUAAAACUAAAUAAAAAAGAUAAGAAGAGAGUGAAGGUGCAGAACCUGGGGCAAUAUAUCCAUACGUCCCAACAAUUACAGUUCGAUUAGAUGAAUCAGGAUCAAGAAGUCUUGCAGUCCCAAAGUCAGCAAUAACAGCUUCCAAUUCAGAGUUCAACAAAAUGUUAUUGCUUGAGAUGUCUCGAUGAACAAUUGGAGGGUUGCAAUCAUGAUGCAUGUAAGAUAGAGCAUGUGCGACACCUUUGACAAUGUUCACUCUUUUGGUCCAAUCCAAUUCCACAGCUUCCUCAUCAAUGCUCAAGGCAUAAAACAAGCUUCCCUUUUCCAUAUAUUCAUAAAUCAAGAACAUGCAACGGUUGUGGAGACAAAAUCCGUGGAGCUUGACGAUGUUCUUGUGUCGUAUUUCUGUUAAAAACUUGAUCUCAUUUCGGAAACUUGUGUCGUAAGCCGGUUGCUCCGCUUCCAAUCGGUGGAGUUUUUUUAAGGCAACAACUUUGCCACUUGGUAAGACUGCUCUGUAAACACUGCCAUAACCACCCGUUCCAAUGCAAUAUUUGAUAUCAAAAUCCUCCGUUGCUCUGAUGAUGUCUUCAAAUGCAAUCUUUCCAUCAAAAUUCCAAAUACAAAAUAAAUCUCCAUUUUUGGUUGGACUUGGAAUAUGUUUCAGAGCUUUAGCUCUAUGUUGUUGGCAAAAGAUGAAUAUCACCAAUGUAAAGAAUGAGAUAAGAAAUAACAAUGUCGGGACAAGAAUAAUGACUGCCAGAUUGUGCUUCGUUGAUGGGCAAGGAAGGAAGCCUUGAAUGGAACCACAUAAAUCCUUAUUGCCUAUAAAUGUCUUGGGUGGAAAAUUCAAUAACCCAUAUGGAAUUGGACCCCUCAGGGAGUUAAACGAUAAGUUGAGGUUCUCCGGAUAAAAUGGAAAUUCGGGAAUCAUGCCCGUUAGAUUAUUUCGACUGAGAUCAAUGUUGGGAAAUCUGGAAACACUUAAUUGAGUUAAACUCCCAAACUGGGAAGGUAUCACUCCUUGGAGAAGGUUAUGGCUAAUAUCAAUGUUUGUGGAAUGAGAAAGGUUAAAGAGUUGAGAAGGUAUGUCUCCACCAAUAAAGUUAUGGCUUAGAUCAAGCUGGUAUAGUGAUAAGUAACAAAUUUGCAGGGGAAUCCUUACACUCAAGUAAUUGUUUGCCAAAAUUAAGUAUGUUAAAUUUGACAAAUUACCAAUCUGAGUUGGAAUGGAUCCACUCAAUUUAUUGUCCGAGAGAUCUAAGCAUUUUAAAGCCUUCAAACUCUCAAUUUCAUGGGGUAUAGGACCUUCCAAAAGAUUCGAAGCCAUGGAUAGAUACCAUAAAUUGGAUAAACUACCCAAAUUUGGAGGGAUAAAACUACUAAUUUGAUUAUGGUAGAGAUAAAGAGAUUCCAAUUUUGUUAACUGACCCAGAGAGGAAGGGAUGUGACCUGAAAGCUUAUUGGAUGAUAGAUCUAAUUCAACCAAAUUCGUUAGUCUCCCAAUAUCUUCUGGAAUGGAUCCAUUAAGUUGGUUUCUUUGAAGGGACAACGAGGCAAGAUUGGUUAAGUUGCUGACAGAAGAUGGGAUUGGACCAAAAAGAUAAUUGGAGGAUAGAUUCAGUGCAACCAAAUUCGUUAGUCUCCCAAUAUCUUCUGGAAUGGAUCCAUCAAGUUGGUUGCUUUGAAGGAACAACGAGGCAAGAUUGGUUAAGUUGCUGAUAGAUGAUGGGAUUGGACCAAAAAACCAAUUGUUUGAGAGAUCAAGAUUAACCAUACUCUCUAGCUCUCCAAUAUUUGGUGGAAUGGUACCACUGAGGCGGCAGUUUCUGAGGUGGAGAGUCAUUAGCUUUUUAAGGUUGAAUAUUUCGGAAGACAUAAAAAAAAUGGAGUUACCAGACAAAUUUAGAGAAACAAGAUUCUCCAUGUUCUGAAUUUCCGAGGGAAUGGAAUGAAGAUAGUUAUAAGAAAGAUCAAGCACUGCCAAUUGAGUGAGGUUUCCAAGUGAAGAAGGUAACUCACCUGUAAGGCUAUUCAAAGACAGGUUAAGGAGCUUGAGUUUCGAAAGUGCUCCUAUUUGAGGUGUUAUGCCCCCAUUCAGACCAUGGCCACUAAGAUCAAUAUCGACGACACUUCCAGCAUUGCAUCGAAUACCAGGCCACAUACAAUGGUUUCCAACUCUCUUUUUGUAAUUACUCCACCACCCCGUUUCCCUCAACGCUUUUGCCUCUGCUGCCAGCCAUUGAGAAUCAUCGUUCGUUGCUCUUGUAAUUGCACUAGUGAUUACAAUUACAGAGAGUAAAAAGAAGGUAGGGAUACAAGUGUAGGAGUAGGAUUUCAUAGCUAUGAAGUUGAUGGCUGAAGCUGCAGUCCAAUUCUCAAACUUGAGCUUAUUUAAAUACAUAUAAAACAGAUUUAAUUUCAUUGGAUAUCUAUUAAUU